This is a long non-coding RNA of Symsagittifera roscoffensis, 458 nucleotides long. RefSeq lists it as uncharacterized. Lineage: Eukaryota; Metazoa; Xenacoelomorpha; Acoela; Convolutidae. The transcript is spliced from 3 exons. The record is from RefSeq and is a predicted model, not a curated record.
GAUAAUUUUACUUGGCUUGCUUAUUAGCACUCCAGGUGUUUUCGGAAGUGUUGGGUUUGAUUUCAUCACGGGACCUGAGAAUUGCAUCGGAAACGAAUUUUUCAAUUCUGCUGCACGACUAUGUAUCGAAUGCGGUGAAAACACUACAACUACCGAUCACGUAUCUUGCUCAUGUGCGGUUGGCUUUAAAACAAUCGCAGAUGUUGGAUCUGGUCCCUAUUCGACUAGAGAUGGAGUUCAAGUGUUGGCGUGUCAGGCAUGCCCUGCUGGAAUGGCUGUUUCUCCCGAUGGAUGGGAUUGUGUAACUUGCGGAGAUGGAACAAGUCGCGAACCUACAACUGGUAAGUGUGUGCCAUGUGCCGAUGAGCGUGUAUUGAACUCCCGCGACGAAUUCGGAGGGCUGGUCGACCCUUCCUCGUGCCAAGAGUGCGCUGAUAAUUUUGGACCAACAGAAGAAG